GUCGGUUAUGGGGACAUGUACCCCAUCACCACGUGGGGCAAAUUAGUUGGAUCGCUGUGUGCCAUUGCAGGUGUCCUAACAAUCGCGUUGCCAGUCCCGGUGAUCGUGUCCAAC
Helobdella robusta is the source of this 114-nucleotide regulatory RNA element. It matches the Rfam family "Potassium channel RNA editing signal". Rfam says of the family: This family represents a group of sequences related to the human potassium channel Kv1.1 hairpin element which directs the efficient modification of an adenosine to inosine by an adenosine deaminase acting on RNA (ADAR). The ADAR modification causes an isoleucine/valine recoding event which lies in the ion-conducting pore of the potassium channel. The record is from Rfam. NCBI's taxonomy places the organism in Eukaryota, Metazoa, Annelida, Clitellata, Rhynchobdellida, Glossiphoniidae.